Long non-coding RNA from Triticum dicoccoides, 3128 nucleotides. RefSeq lists it as uncharacterized. The transcript has 7 exons. NCBI's taxonomy places the organism in Eukaryota, Viridiplantae, Streptophyta, Magnoliopsida, Poales, Poaceae. The record is from RefSeq and is a predicted model, not a curated record.
GCGUCUCGCCCCACUCCCACCCCAGCCGCCAAACGAACCCUAGCCCGCUUUCUCCCUUCCCUCGAUCCCCACGAGCCGCCGCACCCCUCCCUCCCCAAUCUCCACAGCCGCCGCACCUCUCCCUCGAUCCCCACGAUCCUCUCCUCGCCCGCAGCCGCCGGCCUCGUCUCUCCACUCGCCUACUCCUCUCCUCUACCAUGUCGUCGUCGAUCCCACCGCCGGCCUUCUCCACUGCUUGCCUCUUCCUGUCCGCUUCCAUGUCACCGUCGAUCCAGAUCGGAUGUAGGUCAUCGUUGUGGGAGAGUAGCGGUGGCGGGGUCUUCUCGAUGCGGGUGAGGAUGUAGGGGAGGGGUAGGAUGCGGACGACAAGGUGAAGGAGGAGGCCGGCGAGGAAGGCAAGCAACAGCGGGGAAGGAGCAGGUGAGCAAUCCUAGCGCGGGGAACAUCCGUGGGGACGGCGCCGUCGGCCAGGGGCCAUUCGCCGUCGUCGGCCUCACUCGCCUCGUCUGCUCUCUCUUCACCAGCCCGACCAUAGAGGAUGGGAUGAGAAAGUCUGUGGCCAGCGAAUGGAGCCCCACCUUUGCGUUUCUGUCGCCGCCGAGGAACGUCGCAGCCACUCGCCCACACCAGCCAAAGUGAUUCAUCUACACUACCGCUAGAAGAUUUGGGACUUCACAAUCUGAUGCUGAGCAAGUGGACAUCCAUGUCCCAAAUGAGAAGGCUGGGUUGCUCAUUGGGGAGGGAGGUGAGACCAUUGAGCUUUUAGAAACUAAGUCUGGGGCUGGCAUUCAGGAUAGUGCUAUGACUAUAUGCAUGGAUGUCUUUAUCCAUCCCCAAAUGAGAAGGCUCGGAUGCUCAUUGGGGAGGGAGGUGAGACCAUUGAGUUUUAGAAACUAAGUCUGGGGCUGGCAUUCAGUUAAUCCCGCAUCAUCUCCCCGAAGGUGAUCUUUCCACAGAAAGAAAAAUACAACUUAGUGGGAAUUGGAAUCAAAUAGAGAUUGCAAGAACAAUGGUCGUGGAACUCAUUAGUCAGGUACAGAAGAUUAGUUUUUUUGUUGUGGAUUUUUCUGCCUUUGCAGGCCUCUUUCUUUGUUACUUCUGAAACUCAACAUAUGGGGAUUUUGAGAGGAUUUUCAUGUUCUGACCAGGGUCAGUGCUAGAUUAAAUAUAUCCGCAGUAGCGCAAGAUUUUAUUCUUCUCUAAACGACCUGAUUUAGAGACAUUUUAAGGUGUUUAUCCAGAUGUGAUCUUUUUUAUUCAGUGACAGGCGAAUCAUAUAAUUCUUUCAUUUAAAUUCGUGCUCUGUUAUCUAGAAACUAAUAGGUCCUUCUGUAUACAUAGACUAUCAUGCCGUGAAAGUGUAAUAUUUUCCCCCUGUUUUGGACUAACUUGUUAUCUAAUCAUUUCAAACUCUAUAUUUUUAAUGUUUAGUAAUUAAACCUUUAAGGACUAAUGGUUGAUGCUAGAUCUUGAUUUUUUUUUACUCUGUUAUUCUUUGUUGUUAGUAACUUACUAUUACUCUGUGUAGGCUAAACUGGUGCGUACAUUUUCUGUGGUUAGACAUAUAUUUCUAUAUGCAUGUGGAAGUGUAGAUCUCGUGAGAUAUAUUUUAUAACUGGAAUGGCUGAGUAUCUGUGUUAGUUGAUUACCUCAUGCAAUAGUUGUAGCUUCUCAUGGAAUAUUCACACGCUGUCAGUGACAAUGUAUCAUAUUUACAAGAGCUCAACCUUGUGCUUAGUUGAUUACGAGAAUGCCACUCUCAUAUGCCUGAUAGACUAUGUUGCCUUGAUAUGUUGUAAGAGAAUAAUUCAUAUGGAAUUCAGUUGCAAGAGGAACAAGUAUGACGUAAUGUUGAUUUAUUGAUAAACAUGCAUUUUCGUGAUUAUAUAAUUGUAUAUGAAUUUUUUAGAGAAAAUAUUGCAAGAGCUCAUCCAUGUACUUGCUUGAUUACACCAACUUGGGAGCACUAUCAAGUACUCCCUACUUCCCAAAAUCUUGGGCGUAUUAGGUAUUAGCACGAAAAUUAGCGCACUGGUAGUUACGUGAGCCAUCGUACGAGGGAGCCAUCCACAAUUGGAGAAAAAAAAGGAAGGCAUGCACGAUUUGGGUGCUAACGGCACCAGAGGACCGACCGCCUUUUUUAUUUCCAAAAACGUAGCUAACUACACACCCUGCAUUAUGGGACUGCAUGUAAAAUCUAAUAUGCCCAAAUUUUUUGGAAGGAGGGAGUACCAAACAAUGUUUUCUGUUUGUGAUAAAUUCAGUUAUGGUGUGAUUGCCUACUGUAGUACUCCCUCCGUUCGGAAAUACUCGUCGGAGAGAUGGAUGUAUCUAGACGUAUUUUUGUUCUAAAUGCAUUCAUUUUCAUCCAUUUCUACGACAAGUAUUUCCGGACGGAGGGAGUACUACCCAAACUGAUUUCAUCAUAUCAUCAAUUUCAGGAAGCUUAUGUAGUUUGUCAUUGAUUAUUGAUGUCAUAACAAGGAUAUGCCAUACACACGAAGAUACUCCUAUUAACACGAGUGCCAUCAGUAUAGUGACCUUGUGCAUCAGAAAAAGGACUUGGUUAAAGCAUAAGGACGAUGAUCCCGUUUUUGCUCUAUAGGCCUCCCCUUCUUCAAAUGAAGCUCCAACCUUAGCAAGGGUAUGGUAGUAGAUGAUGUGUCUGUUUUGUUUGUGUCGACAGACAAGCGGUUGGUUGAUUCUGUAUACACAUCCUGCAAACUAAGCUUAGCAAAUAGCAAUAAAGCUACAACAAGUGUGUUCACUGUCAUCUCCCUUUGAAACAAUAUAUCAUCUUCUGGUUUUCUAAUAUGUAUUGUACAGCAUGAAGGGGAGCCUUGGCGCAGUGGUAAAGCUGCUGCCUUGUGACCAUGAGGUCACGGGUUCAAGUCCUGGAAACAGCCUCUUGCAGAAAUGUAGGGAAAGGCUGCGUACAAUAGACCCAAAGUGGUCGGACCCUUCCCCAGACCCUGCGCAAGCGGGAGCUACAUGCACUGGGGCUGCCCUUUUUAUUGUACAGCAUGUGACUAUCCAAAUUAUUCUCUGUAGAUAACUACACGCUUAUCUACUUGUCGUACCAAAAUGGUUCGUCUUUAUCAAAAUCCAUGUUUCCUUGUUCCUUCCUA